GACGUAGGAUGCAAGCGUUGUCCGGAUUUAUUGGGCGUAAAGAGUUCGUAGGCGGUUAUUUAAGUCUGAUGUUAAAUACUGUGGCCCAACCACAGAACUGCAUUGGAUACUGGAUGACUUGAGUGCGGUAGAGGCAAGUGGAAUUCCCAGUGUAGCGGUGAAAUGCGUAGAUAUUGGGAAGAACACCAGUGGCGUAAGCGACUUGCUGGCCCGUAACUGACGCUGAGGAACGAAAGCCAGGGGAGCGAAUGGG
Molecule: ribosomal RNA, 253 nt
Filed under: uncultured bacterium
Lineage: Bacteria
Description: partial 16S ribosomal RNA
Rfam family: Bacterial small subunit ribosomal RNA
Source: RNAcentral